CUGUCGUCAGCGCGUGCCGUGAGGUGUUGGGUUAAGUCCCGUAACGAGCGCAACCCUCAUCGCUAGUUACACUCUCUAGCGAAACUGCCUCGCAAAGCGGGGAGGAAGGUGGGGAUGACGUCAAGUCAGCAUGGCCCUUAUGCCCUGGGCUACACACACGCUACAAUGGGUGGUACAAUGGGUUGCCAAAGAGCAAUCUGGAGCUAAUCCCUGAAAACCAUCCUCAGUUCGGAUUGCAGGCUGAAACCCGCCUGCAUGAAGUUGGAGUUGCUAGUAACCGCAGGUCAGCAUACUGCGGUGAAUGCGUUCUCGGGCCUUGUACACACCGCCCGUCACGUCAUGAAAGCCGGUAAUACUUGAAGUCAAUAAUCUAACUCAUCGUAAGAUGAGGGGAAGUCGCCGAGAGUAGGAUUGGUAAUUGGGACGAAGUCGUAACAAGGUA
This 442-nucleotide ribosomal RNA is filed under the name uncultured bacterium. RNAcentral describes it as "bacterial SSU rRNA". It matches the Rfam family "Bacterial small subunit ribosomal RNA", at positions 1049 to 1498 of the family's 1533-position model. The record is from RNAcentral.